RNAcentral lists this transfer RNA (85 nucleotides) under Felis catus (domestic cat). It matches the Rfam family "tRNA". From Rfam's summary of the family: Transfer RNA (tRNA) molecules are approximately 80 nucleotides in length. Their secondary structure includes four short double-helical elements and three loops (D, anti-codon, and T loops). Lineage: Eukaryota; Metazoa; Chordata; Mammalia; Carnivora; Felidae. The record is from Rfam by way of RNAcentral.
GCCUGGGUGGCUCAGUCGGUUGAGUGUCUGACUUCAGCUCAGGUCAUGAUCUCACGGUUCGUGAGUUCAAGCCCCGCGUCGGGCU